CAUCCGUGAGACGGUUGUUAAGAUUCUUCAAGAUCCACAUCUGCGUGAUCAGCUAAGCUCAUUGUCACAACCAUCACAGCAGGUGAAUCAAGCAGUAUUAACAAAUUUUUUUACUUGUUUUAAAUUUUUAUAUUUAGAAGUUUCACAUUGUUAGACUUCAGUCAGAGAAAAAGGGGAUCUAGGGGUCAAAAGUCAAUCUUUUCAUCUAAUGAAUGGGCUGAAGAUAUAGAUACAUCCGUAUCAUCGAAUGAAAUAUAUAAAAAUAAUCUAUUUGAGAAUUGGAGGAGUAUAUCGAAAUAUUUUAUGUCAGUUUAGACUUCAAGC
RNAcentral lists this long non-coding RNA (324 nucleotides) under Elaeis guineensis (African oil palm). RNAcentral describes it as "long non-coding RNA (EGUI_LNC008967)". Lineage: Eukaryota; Viridiplantae; Streptophyta; Magnoliopsida; Arecales; Arecaceae. The record is from RNAcentral.